This is a small nuclear RNA of Phyllostomus discolor (pale spear-nosed bat), 107 nucleotides long. NCBI's taxonomy places the organism in Eukaryota, Metazoa, Chordata, Mammalia, Chiroptera, Phyllostomidae. The record is from RefSeq and is a predicted model, not a curated record.
GUGCUUGCAUCGACAGCUCAUGUAUUAGAAUUGCAAUGAUACAGAGCAGGUUAGCAUGACCUCUGUGCAAGGAUGACAUGCAAAUCUGUGAAGUGUUCCGUAUUUUA